UUUUUUUUUUUUUUUUGGUUAGAGAGACGAACUCUCCUCUCUCAGAGUUUUCGGUACCUGCCUGGUUGCCAUGACUACCACCACAAAGUUGGAGAUUCAGGAGUGAGGGUUGCUGUAAGCAAAGUUGAGGAGACAAGAGAAGCUCGGGGAAUUCCCCCAACUUUUUCUGCUUCAUAGAGACUCUACUUCCCAUGCACAAAACCAAAAUAAAUAGAAUCAUAAUUUUAAAAAAGUGUAUCUUGGAGCUCUUCCUGUCUGUGCCUGGUACAUUAUCUAUUCUGGGAUAUUAUCCUCUAAGGCAAGGAGAUAUGGGUGGAAAAAGAGGAAAACAAGAAAACUCCCCACUGGAUUGCUUGUACUUUGGGUUCUGGAUUUCUUGCUCAAUCCCCCUGCUAUCAUUUACUUUUCAGAGUUCUCAAGUAGCUGCUUCAUGCAUUCUGUGAAGGGCUCUUGAUUUCAUUCAGUUGAGACAGAAUUCAGUUACUUUAUCUCCUUUGGAUCUGAAACUGUCACUUAAGUUGAAGUUACUUCAUCUUCAAAAUGAAUGUGAUUAAUACUUGCCCUUUCUAACUCACAACAUAUUUAUGGAAGUAAAAUAAAAUGGCAUAUUUGGAAGUAUCUCAUAAAUUGUGUGAUAGUGGUAAUAUAUUGACCUUUUAAUAUAUAUACACAUAGUUUGAAUAUAUUUUUUCCAUUUCAACUUUAUCAUUCUUGGCAAUUUCCCAAGUAGAAACUUCCAUGUUAUGUAACUGCCAUUAUGUUGUCCGAAAAGUUGGGAAACCCUACGAUAAACAAAGCUAAACAGAUUUACUUACUGCAAGACUUCUUGAAGUCUCUGAUAGGUUAAUGUGCAUUUUGAAUUCCCAAGAUAUAAUUGAACAGAUUUCAGAAUUUAUCUCUCAGCUGUUUUAUCUUCUAUUGGUCUCUUAAACAGAAAUAAAUGCAGAAUGAUUAUUUUGUAAGCAUUCUAGAAAAUUCUUCAUAUUUAACAUCAAUAAGAAUGUUGUAAGCUUUGGCAGAACCUUUACUCCCCCUUUAAGUCACCUUUCAAGCCUUGCUCAUAGAUAGAAAUAUGGCUAAAGAAAGAAAAGAUAUUUCGGAGGUAACACAGGGUUUUAAAGAAACACACAGAUGCAAAGCAAAAUAUUAUAUAUCUGCAUAUCUUCCUGAUGUUUCAUUCAAAUAAAUAUGUUCUGUGGCUUCAUUUUUCAAACCAUGGCUUAUUAGUGUGAUAGUAGUUAAGAGAUAUUCUUAAAAUUUGGUACUACAGUAAAAAUCCAGGCUGCACAUUUGUGCUACAGUAUAUUUCUUAUACUAGAGAUAAAACUUAUGUCUUUAGAAAAGUUUUAUCUAAAUCCUGAUAUAUUUGUACUUCCUACUUCUUUCAGUUAAAAAUAAUUUUUAGAAUUUAGAAACAUAACACAAUAAGUUUCACAAAUCUAACCUCACUUUCUUUGUUGGACUUCCAAUUAUUUCCUGUCUUUAAAAGUUAAAAUGGGAAACAUUUAAAAUGAUUUAUCUCUUCUAGAUAUUUGUGUAAAUAAGUUUAUACUAAGAAAAAGUGCAAGUAGAAUCUAUACUUCAUAGACAAGAAAAUGAAGACAAUAUAACUUUAGACAAUGAAUUUAACAUCUUGAAAAUUAAGUAUUGACAUUAUCUCAUAAAUCAGUUUAAAAUUUCACAUUCACCAAGUAAGACAAAUAAUUAUGGAAAAGAGUCACUGAAUUAUCAACAUGUUGAUCUAUAUGUAUGCUCUAAAAGGUGGUAAGCAAAGAGAGGAAUUUACAUUCACAAAAGUCCUGGACUUUGACCAAGAAUCAACUUAAAAAUAAUUAUUAUGAAUUUAAUCACAUUAUAAUCCAAUUGUAAUUGUGACCCUUAUUUGCAACUACUUCUUCCUGGAGAAACUUAUCAGCCCCUAAAUGCUUGUGGUCUUAUGCCACCCAGACAGUCCUAGGGUUUUCCAUUCAUGCAUUUUUGAGAGUACAGACUACCGUUUCUUGCAAAUUUACACAUUUUGGUUAAAUAAAGCAUAAAGAGUAGUAAUUCAAGCUUAACCACAGUAACAUGUCACAUUUGGGGUCAAGUCUGGAUAUAUCUAGCAUCUGACCAACAUCUGUCCUGUGUUAUUGAGAGAUCAACUGUACUUUCUGAAGAACAACGUUUUAUGGACAGUAUGUUAAGGCAUUGCGCAAACACUCCACGUUUUUUUCCCUAAUUUAAACAGUUUACAUAGUUCUUUUUUUUCUUUUAUUGUAAACGGGUUAAAACAUUUAUGAAAUACUGCAUUAGAAAAGGCUAAUAUUCUCCCUAUUUGUAAAGAAUAUUUUUAUUUCUAGAUAAUAAGUUGUGAUGUAUUAUUUGUCUCCUCAUCAAGUCAUCUAAAUGUCAAAGUUUAUGGGCAGAUGUAGGCCUCUGGCUGCCUGUAAGCCAUUUAAAUUUCUCACCUACUUCCACUAUUGAGGCUGAAAAGUGAAAAUAUUCCAUUUCCAGUCUUCCCUGGGCAAGACAUCGUAUCAGCCCUGAAUUUAAAGUCUAUAUUUUUGAAAAAUGGAAUUUUAAAAGAUUGUGGAGAUGUCCUAGAUUAUGUGCUAUGGAAAAAAAAGAGAAUAUGAUGUUUUUAAUUCUCAAGAUUAAAGCAAUCAAGAAAAAGUUGUAUUUUUUAGAUAAAAAAUAUAACAAAAAUUUUUACUAUAAAGCCACUUUUAUCUGUUUUUAAAAUCUAAUUCAGUUUUAGUUUGAAACUGUUGUUCAAAGGUAACACCUGUGAUAAGAGACACAAGCUGUUUCAGAAAGUGGCUGCAUCAGAAAGCAAGCUGUUAAGAGUUGCAGGUUGUUAAAUUCACUCUGCAGGGCAGUAGAUAAAAAGUGUUGUUGCACUUCAGCUUUAGUUUAUUUCAGAAGCUUCCUAAGAAAUCAGAUCUGAGGCUAUGGUAGCCUAGGCACUAAAAACAACAACAGCAACAACAACAACAAAAAACAAACAAACAAAAAACAAGAAAUCAAACAAAAAAAUACACAGCAAAACCUCAGGGAAAUCUCCACCUGGGGGAAGUUUACUUUGUUGGCUUUUUAUGCAGAGGGCCACUGAGUGAUCCUAAUCUGUUCUGUCAUUUUCUACCAAUUGGGAAGAAAGGGUAUGGGAGUUGAGAACUGGAAAUACUAAUGAAGAAGAAUUUCUGAUGUUUAGCAGAAGUAUGUGAUAUCUCUUGCAUCUUGGGGCUUCUUUGAAGCCUGGUAUUGCUGGCUUAUAUACCUGGACCUGUCAGAGUUUGAUUUUCUCACACAGCUAAAAUGUACAAAGUAUAAGCUCAUUAAAACAACAUAAUGGCUUAAUGAAAAUUUGCUGAGGUUUAUUAAAAUAAAUUGCUAACCAAGGCAAUGAU
RNAcentral lists this long non-coding RNA (3386 nucleotides) under Homo sapiens (human). Its description in RNAcentral is "non-protein coding lnc-PLOD2-4:1". Lineage: Eukaryota; Metazoa; Chordata; Mammalia; Primates; Hominidae. The record is from RNAcentral.